AUUGAACGCCGGCGGCAGGCCUAACACAUGCAAGUCGAGCGGAUGAAGGGAGCUUGCUCCUGGAUUCAGCGGCGGACGGGUGAGUAAUGCCUAGGAAUCUGCCUGGUAGUGGGGGAUAACGUCCGGAAACGGGCGCUAAUACCGCAUACGUCCUGAGGGAGAAAGUGGGGGAUCUUCGGACCUCACGCUAUCAGAUGAGCCUAGGUCGGAUUAGCUAGUUGGUGGGGUAAAGGCCUACCAAGGCGACGAUCCGUAACUGGUCUGAGAGGAUGAUCAGUCACACUGGAACUGAGACACGGUCCAGACUCCUACGGGAGGCAGCAGUGGGGAAUAUUGGACAAUGGGCGAAAGCCUGAUCCAGCCAUGCCGCGUGUGUGAAGAAGGUCUUCGGAUUGUAAGGCACUUUAAGUUGGGAGGAAGGGCAGUAAGUUAAUACCUUGCUGUUUUGACGUUACCAACAGAAUAAGCACCGGCUAACUUCGUG
This 484-nucleotide ribosomal RNA is filed under the name uncultured bacterium. RNAcentral describes it as "partial 16S ribosomal RNA". It matches the Rfam family "Bacterial small subunit ribosomal RNA", at positions 30 to 507 of the family's 1533-position model. The record is from RNAcentral.